Myotis lucifugus (little brown bat) is the source of this 76-nucleotide non-coding RNA. The record is from Rfam. NCBI's taxonomy places the organism in Eukaryota, Metazoa, Chordata, Mammalia, Chiroptera, Vespertilionidae.
GAUGGUUCUCAGGUGACGCACCCCAGAACCAGAGAGGAGGGAGCCCGAUUCUGGGGUGCAUCACCUGAGAACCAUG